RNAcentral lists this transfer RNA (71 nucleotides) under Galerina marginata CBS 339.88. Its description in RNAcentral is "tRNA-Tyr". Lineage: Eukaryota; Fungi; Basidiomycota; Agaricomycetes; Agaricales; Galerinaceae. The record is from RNAcentral.
GAUCGGUUAGCUCAGUGGUUAGCGCCGGCGUAUAUUGCAGGAAAUCUGUGGUUCAAUUCCGCACCCGAUCG